Molecule: long non-coding RNA, 2746 nt
Organism: Sciurus carolinensis (gray squirrel)
Lineage: Eukaryota; Metazoa; Chordata; Mammalia; Rodentia; Sciuridae
Exons: 3
Source: RefSeq, a predicted model, not a curated record
UGCAGUAUAUGUUUUGUCCUUGUUGAAUGCAGUUUAGUCUCCCUCUGCUUCCUAGCGCCAUGUGCUGAUUGCUUUCAUCCACCACAUCCUUCCGCCAUGAUGUUCUGCCUCAACUUGGGCCCCACGAAUGGAGUUGGCUGUCUAUGAACUGAGACCUCUGAAACCAUGAGAGCCAAAUAAACUUUCCUCCUCUAAAAUUAUCCUUCUCAGGUCCUUUGGUUAUAGCAACAAACAAUAAACAACAACAACAACAAAAAGCAAAGCUGAAUAAUAUACCACCCCAAGAAAAUGGCAGAGGUUAAGGAGAAGAGGGUGAGAGAAGGGAACAUGUAAAGGGCAGAGGGACACUAAGUGAGGUUUUUUGACCAUCAGGGGUCACUGUGAGGGCACAAGACAAUGAAUGUUUAUUGAACACCUCCUAUGUCCAGAUAGUAUGCUGACUCUGGGGACAAACCUAUGAAAUAAAAGCUGCCCCUCAUUCAGGGGCACUUACAGACAGUGCUGAGUUGUCCUGGGUUCUACAUGCUUAGCUUUUACCAGUGUUGCUAACUGAAGUGGCCUUGUGCAGUCUGGACCUGUCACCCCACGCAGAGCAUGGAGAGAGCUGCUCGGAAGCAACUGCCUGGACACAAACCCAGCCAGCACUGGAGAUGCCUGCCUGUCCUACCUGAGGAGAUCUCCAUUCCCCUUUCCUGGUGUUGGUCAGCUCCGUUAUCGCGUGUGGUGUUUUUCCUCACCAAUGACCGAUUCUCCAACACCAACUUGAUGAUCAACAAUUGAUUCAAUUCUGAUUCUGUCUGCCUGGAGUUGGGAACAGACCUCACAAACUAAAAGGCUCAAUCCCACAAGACUUCUCCCAAUUUAGAUGCCAGCCACACAUAUGGGUCCCAGGCUACCCACAUUUCUGCCCACUGACUGCAACUUCAGGCGCUCACAACUGUCCGUCCCUCUGGUUUGGUAGGAUAACUCUCUGGAAGACUCAGAACUCAGGAAAGUGCACUGCUUCCGGUCAAAGUUGUUACAAAGGAGACAAGUGAAUGGCCAGAUGAGGAGACGGAGGUACGAGAAUCCCUGAGGUGGAGUGACGUGUAGGUCCUUCAUCCCACACAAGCACCGGGAGCUGACUGCGUUCCAGAGCUGAUGCGAGAGCUUCUAAAGUCACAGGGCAGAUAUGAGCCACAGUCCUCGACUUUGAGAAGCCACAGUCCAGUCGCCAGUCCAGAGGGCAAACCAAACACCCAUCAUAGCUGCAAAGGACACAAAUCAGAACUGGGCAAAGAAGAGGGAAGUGGACGAAGCCAGGGAGGUUCCAGCGUGAAGCUGCUGUGUUCCCUCAGGUCUCACCACCUCCCUGAAUUGAAGUGUGACAAUACGGAGGCUUUGUUGGGGUUUCCUUAUAUAUUCACAAAUGAUGGAUCACUGGCCAUGCGGUCGAACUGGACAGCUGGUCCCUCCAAGUAGGGUAGGACAUUGUGGCCAAAGCCCCAAACAACCUCCAGUGACCUGAUCAGUCUUUCUGGUGUGGCAAGCUCAGCCCGAGUUACCAUCUUGUCAUGUCAGCAUAACUAUCAGGGACCUCCAUGAGUUGUAACCCAGGUGUGGUCCAAGAGCCACAUGAAUGACAAGGACUUCUCUAUUGCCGAGGAGUUUCCAAAGGUCUAGAGGCCCCUCCCCAGUGGACAUAGGCCAGUCAGACGGCCUGUGUGUGGAGUUGUUGCUGGCGGUGGUCUUAAGGUUGAGUGUGUCCUUUGGCUCUUGUGUUCUCCCAGGAGAAAAUGUCAGGCAAGACGUUAAAUAGAGUAGAAGUAUAUAGCAAAGUGUAUUAGAGGAGAAAGGAAAGACCCUCAAGGGAGAGGGAUGCGAUGUCCCUUUGUUACCAGCUUUGCAGGGGUCUUAGGGAAGUUUCUAGAGAGUUUUGCCCAGGUACCACCUCAACAACUUGAAUGACAGCAGGAUUCCCUCAGGUUUUUAAGUCCUUUCUGCCCAAGGUUUUACCCACGGGUACCCAGGUGAAGCCCAUGUGUUGGGUGGCUUUUACUGUCACAAUGAGAGUAAAAUGAUCUGAAGCUAAAGAGCGAAAGGCAACUCUCAGUCGCCUUGACCUGUGCUGACUAGUUCAAACUGGACCUAGUUUUUACAGGUUUUAUGGUUGGUGGGCUUUGCUUUUCAUUAUCCUGUGUUCCUGAGUCUUGGAAUCUUUGUAUAAAGGUCACCAGAGUCCCCUUUCAGGGCAAUCUGUGCUCCGAUCAGGAAGAAGGAGUCUUAUAUUCCUCACCCUGCAAGUAGCUCCAAGGGUACCGGUUGUUUGUGCAGAAAUGUAACCUCCUGUUGAUUUAAGGCAGAGCAGGGUCACAAUGACCUUGCUCAGGUAAAUCACUUCUUAAAAGAAAGUGUGCGGAGGGCAGCCCAGGCCCAGUCUGCGGAAUGACCCCUUUAAUUUCACGUACCUACUGCUCACAGUGAGGGGCCUGGAGCAGGGGUGUCGUGCUGGGCGGGACCGAGGCGCCUGGGAGGUGGAGCCUGUUGCCAGGUGCCACCAUUGGUUGUGGCUCUUGCCAGAGGUGCAGCCAGCUGUUCAAACCAGGUUCAAACAAGACUGACAGGCCGUGACCAGCCACGCUGUCUCCUAACGCACUUCCUUUUUCCUCUGAAUCGCUUCUUUUCUCAGCUCUGACAACCUGCCCAGGUGGCGGGCGGGCAGAACAUCCUGAGCUUGUUCAGUCGGGGCGGCUGCCUGAUUUCAGAA